GAUGAACGCUGGCGGCGUGCCUAAUACAUGCAAGUCGAGCGAACAGACGAGGAGCUUGCUCCUCUGACGUUAGCGGCGGACGGGUGAGUAACACGUGGAUAACCUACCUAUAAGACUGGGAUAACUUCGGGAAACCGGAGCUAAUACCGGAUAAUAUAUUGAACCGCAUGGUUCAAUAGUGAAAGACGGUUUUGCUGUCACUUAUAGAUGGAUCCGCGCCGCAUUAGCUAGUUGGUAAGGUAACGGCUUACCAGGGCAACGAUGCGUAGCCGACCUGAGAGGGUGAUCGGCCACACUGGAACUGAGACACGGUCCAGACUCUUACGGGAGGCAGCAGUAGGGAAUCUUCCGCAAUGGGCGAAAGCCUGACGGAGCAACGCCGCGUGAGUGAUGAAGGUCUUCGGAUCGUAAAACUCUGUUAUUAGGGAAGAACAAAUGUGUAAGUAACUAUGCACGUCUUGACGGUACCUAAUCAGAAAGCCACGGCUAACUACGUG
Molecule: ribosomal RNA, 497 nt
Filed under: uncultured bacterium
Lineage: Bacteria
Description: partial 16S ribosomal RNA
Rfam family: Bacterial small subunit ribosomal RNA
Source: RNAcentral